Molecule: ribosomal RNA, 289 nt
Filed under: uncultured bacterium
Lineage: Bacteria
Description: partial 16S ribosomal RNA
Rfam family: Bacterial small subunit ribosomal RNA
Source: RNAcentral
GUGGAUUAGAUACCCUGGUAGUCCACGCCGUAAACGAUGGAUGCUAGCCGUUGGUGGGUUUACCCUUCAGUGGCGCAGCUAACGCAUUAAGCAUCCCGCCUGGGGAGUACGGUCGCAAGAUUAAAACUCAAAGGAAUUGACGGGGGCCCGCACAAGCGGUGGAGCAUGUGGUUCAAUUCGAAGCAACGCGCAGAACCUUACCAGCCCUUGACAUGCCACGACGGUUUCCAGAGAUGGAUUCCUCCCCGCAAGGGGCGUGGACACAGGUGCUGCACGGUUGUCGCCAGCU